RNAcentral lists this long non-coding RNA (1606 nucleotides) under Vulpes vulpes (red fox). Its description in RNAcentral is "lncRNA (ENSVVUG00000021247.1)". The record is from RNAcentral. Lineage: Eukaryota; Metazoa; Chordata; Mammalia; Carnivora; Canidae.
UCUCUUUCAGAUCUAAUAAUCUCCAAAACUAUGGACUUACAGCACAUAAGAAACUGCAUAGAUAUAAACUCCAGCAAAGCCCUGCAUUGGAUACUCAGCCCAACAUGUUUUUGCAUAUCAUCCUCUGACAUAUGCUAUGUUUCAAGAAAUGACCAACAAAGGGAGACCAAAUAGAGUAUCUUCUGAGAUUUUAUGGAAGUGGCACCUUCAAUCAAAGUCUGGUUGUGGGAAGUGAGGGAGAAAUUGCAGUAUACAAGCUUUAACUACUUGAAGAAUAUUUUCAUUUCAUCUAUCAGAAACCCUUGUGUCAAGAUAAUUUAUUUGACUCGACUUUCAGGAAUUCAGCAUCAUAGCUAUAUUCAUGUGAAUAAAUCCAGAGUUCUUUCAGAUUCUAACCAGCCAAGUAUGGGAAAACAGAAAAUGGUGAUAUUUAACAUUUCAAAUUUAUCAUACAGGAAGUAAAGGACACCAUUCAAUAUCGGAAUUAGAAGCAUUCUAUUCAUUUUCCCCCUGCAGCCAGGGAAAGAGAAAGAGGAGUGCAGAGGCAGAGACUCAAACAACUCUAGAUGCAGCAAUUCUCUAGCCGCUGAGCAAUGAGGUUUCAGACGCUGCUGGAGGACCCAUUCAUCUUAAUCCAUCUGGAAAGAGGGCUACGCGCAAUAUUUCACAAUCUAAGUACUUUCUGACAAAUCUAUUAAUUAUGCACUCAAACAAAUUAUUUGCUGCCUGUGGAGAAUUGCUACUGGAUUUUCUCUUGUGCCAGAUCCACGUUCUCUUUUCUGCUUUUAACUCAUUGCUGUCAUUGGCACAGUCAUCUCGCUCCCCUGUUUUAAGCAUCUAACAUUUUAAAUUAGAACGUGGUCAUUACUACAGAGAAGCCACAGGAGGUUAAGGGAACAUGACAGUGAAGAGCUGAACGAUACUUUCUUUCUGCCGCCUCCCUGACACCUUUUGUCUUCCAUUCUAUUCUGAAGCAAAGCAUAUGGAAGACAUCUCUUCUCCAUGCUAGAACAAUAGAUGAGACCAUUAGUUUGUGGCUUACUCAUGCUUCUCAUCCACAACUUUGAAUUUGGUUCCUCAGUUCUAAAGACAAGUCCUCCUCCACAACUUAUAAAAUCAACAACUCUAUGAAACAUGCACGGCGUGUGGAAGGAAAAAAAAUACAUAGUUACAACUUAUUCUCUACUAAUUUGAUCAUUACAUUUUAGUUCUAGCACACUAUUUAAAGAUCUCAGAUUUUUUUUAAAAAGUAAUUUCCUAGCCUUAGAGAUACUACAUACAAUUCUAGAAAGCUACUGAAAACAAAAGAUAAAAAUGAAAGUCAUGCAUAAUACCAGCUGUUAAAAAUAUGUGUAUGUCUUUCUAGUCCUUUUAUAUAUGUACAGAAUAUAUAUGCUUAUAUUGAAAAACAUGUACAUGAUUUUCUAUGUAUCUUUAACUUACCAUUUCAUAUCUACCCUCUACAUUGUGAAACCUUAUCAUAUGUUGGGGAAAUAUAAUUAAAAACAAAAUUUCUUCCCACGGAAAUCCUCUCCACAAAGAUAGGAAAAGGAAGACACUUUUAUUAUUGAAUAAACAUUUAACUAAACAUUACCUAAAAUGUGAU